Molecule: long non-coding RNA, 100 nt
Organism: Melitaea cinxia (Glanville fritillary)
Lineage: Eukaryota; Metazoa; Arthropoda; Insecta; Lepidoptera; Nymphalidae
Exons: 3
Source: RefSeq, a predicted model, not a curated record
AAGCUGCCAACAUGGCCGCGCUAACCAACGCUACGACGCUCCGCCAGACGACAGCACUGCAGCUUGUCAAUCUAGUUCCGGCGGUCGCUGUUAACACGUG